This 253-nucleotide ribosomal RNA is filed under the name uncultured bacterium. RNAcentral's name for it is "partial 16S ribosomal RNA". It matches the Rfam family "Bacterial small subunit ribosomal RNA", at positions 524 to 776 of the family's 1533-position model. The record is from RNAcentral.
UACAGAGGGUGCGAGCGUUGUUCGGAAUUAUUGGGCGUAAAGCGCGUGUAGGCGGCCAAGCAAGUCGGGUGUGAAAGCCCUCGGCUUAACCGAGGAAGUGCGCCCGAAACUACAUGGCUUGAGUACCGGAGAGGAUGGCGGAAUACCCGGUGUAGAGGUGAAAUUCGUAGAUAUCGGGUGGAACACCAGUGGCGAAGGCGGCCAUCUGGACGGAUACUGACGCUGAGACGCGAAAGCGUGGGUAGCAAACAGG